AUUUGCAAUUAGUACUCAUCAGAUGACA
This 28-nucleotide non-coding RNA is filed under the name Mus musculus (house mouse). Lineage: Eukaryota; Metazoa; Chordata; Mammalia; Rodentia; Muridae. The record is from RNAcentral.